CAGAUGAUAUGAUUUUUGUCUUGAGUCUGAGGAUGCAGACAAACUAAAAACUCCUUAAAUGUGAACACCUACAAAUUGUCAUCUUGAAGACUAUCCUGAUGUUGCACUGGUUUCUCUUGCAGACAUGCUGGCACCCAGUGUUAAACAGACAUGAUGGCUGAGUGUUGGCAGUGGAGUAGAACUACACACUGCUCGCCUUUAGGCGUAAAGGCAUCCUGACAGGCAGUUUUGGAUGACUUGGGGAUGCAACUGCUAUCUUGGCUACAUCGACCAGUUUCGGCAAAUGUCAGGAUGUGGAGUUCUGUCUGCAUACCUCAACCUCACAGGGGCUUUAGAUUUCAAGACCAGGGUUUUUAUUUUAUUUUAUUUUUUCUCUAAUCCCUCAUUUGAAGGUUUAAAACCAGAUCAAUCAAAAUGUUUGCCUUUUAAUGUCUGUUAAUCUAAGCAGCAGCAUCAAUAGGUGAUAUUGGACACACAUUUACACUGGAGUACAGCAAGUGUACAUUUUGAGUUGGAUAAUUCUGAGGUUAUCUUGCAACUGAGCUCAAUGAUUAAGAGAUGCAAGCUUCCCAUGUGGUGUUUUGAAGAGAACAGAUGGCUGUAAAUUCUGGUUGGAAAAAUGAAGCCAAUGCUGAAAUCCCUUAAACCAACGUUCUGCCACCAAAUGUCUAUUGCUCGGUUUGCAGAUUAUGAGAACGGCUUUCUAGUAAACUCUUUACUGCUAAGUUUAUGGCAUCACUCACUUGGGGUUAUAACAAACAGCAAGAUGAUGUGGUGCUGAAGUCUGAUUAUACAAUGGUACAAGCAUUAAUGUACACGAGGCUAAAUAACAGACAAAUGCAUGAUUGUUCCUGUUGUUGUGGCUGAACAUUAGUCAUCUGUCUGUUUCAUUGGCCUAGAUGUGAUGGAAUCAUCUUUAUUUGAGAAAUGUACUUAAACCUUUGUCCCUACUUCCUGUGUUUUCAAGCUACCUCUUAAAAGGUGAAUAAACUGAACAGUGAAUGUGUCAUUGCUUUAAUAAAUGCCUAAAUGGAACAAGA
Molecule: long non-coding RNA, 1040 nt
Organism: Pundamilia nyererei
Lineage: Eukaryota; Metazoa; Chordata; Actinopteri; Cichliformes; Cichlidae
Exons: 2
Source: RefSeq, a predicted model, not a curated record